This is a long non-coding RNA of Drosophila ficusphila, 1412 nucleotides long. RefSeq lists it as uncharacterized. Lineage: Eukaryota; Metazoa; Arthropoda; Insecta; Diptera; Drosophilidae. The record is from RefSeq and is a predicted model, not a curated record. The transcript has 2 exons.
GAAAAGAAAACAACGUAAGAUAAUUUUAAAUUCCAUAUAUUAAACGAAUUACUAAGGAAUUUGAAAUAAAAUUAAAUAAGGCUACUAUUUUUGAACUUCUCGGAGAUCAACUACCCGUGUACCGUAAAAAUUAGUCUUGUUUUCAGCAGUUUCAAGGAUGGUUUGCUAGUUACAUGAAGUUUAAUAUAGUUAAAUCUAAUGUUUAUUUUUUUCUUUUAGCUAAAGACCGCUCUGUAUGCCAAUAUAUUAACAAUAAUUUUAUUUGCUAUUUCAGCAAGACAUUUGAGGUUAAUUUUUUCGUUUCAGAAAUCUGAUGGCACUGAAUUACGUCAAGAAAUAUAUACACAAUUCUACUUUUUGAAGAAUCAUUUUUAGACUGUCUGUCAAAAAUGGUCGAACGGAUCAUUGUUAAAGAAAAGCGUUAAAAAACCGUUGCUUAAAAAUGUUAUAUUGUGAAAUAAAUUCAUCUAUUAUUAUUACAUGACAUAACUUACUUUUACUUUUAUUACGAAUGUGCAAAAAAUUCAAAAGGGUAAUUAAUUCGUUCUGAACUCUCUUGCGAAUUAGAAGUACUAAAGCUUAUCCGAUAUUGCUACAGUUUUUUUUUAGUUCGGUACUUACAGUUGAGGAAAGCUCGAGAUGUGGAGAUGGAACCAUAUAUUCUUUUUUAUUUUCUUGGUGCCACAUACCCAAAGCAAAGAUCAACUAAAAAAGGACGAGAGCGUCGUUUACAUCUCAGCCGCUGUCCAAACAAUACCUAAUCCAAAUAUAGUUGGGCUAAAGAUCAAAAACAAAUUCGGUGCUCGAUCAGCAGAUGUUUAUCCAGUGCCUGUUAUACCCAAUCCGAAUUUUCCUACAACAAAACCUUCUUCUACGAAUAAAUUUUGUGCGAACAUUAAUAAUAACAUUGCAGCUGUGAAUAAUGGUAAAGCGGACACUGUAAUUAUAGUCAACUGCAUCUACGGAAACACAGAUUACAAAGAGGAAUUUGUGAAACGCGAUUUAAUUGUUGGAAACGCAACUUCGACUGAUUCUCCAUUCGGUAAUACAAAAGUCAUUAAAGCAAAACCAACAAAACCACCAGAAAAUUCAAAAAUUGCCCCAUUGCCACUUGAACGCAAUAUUACUCCAAAUGAUUUAGAUCCUCUUUCCCUACCAAUAAAUCAAACCUCAAGGCCGUAUCCUAAAGGUCCAUUUGAAAUUGACCCACCUCCUUCAAUAAAAAACCCAUUCAAUUCAAUAUUAUAUAAAUAAUAUAAGCCAGCCUUGGCAGCAGAUUCUUUUAGUGCCGCCACCAGUUCAUAGUCCAUUAUGUCCAACCCCUCAACUGCAAUCCGAGGCAUCCAUGUUACUGACAUAGUUACUUGUACCCCUGUCCCUUUUCUCCAAAAAUAAAGUUAUAUAUUUGAAAA